This 316-nucleotide ribosomal RNA is filed under the name uncultured bacterium. Its description in RNAcentral is "bacterial SSU rRNA". It matches the Rfam family "Bacterial small subunit ribosomal RNA", at positions 28 to 335 of the family's 1533-position model. The record is from RNAcentral.
GACGAACGCUGGCGGCGCGCCUAACACAUGCAAGUCGAACGAGCGAGAGAGAGCUUGCUUUCUCGAGCGAGUGGCGAACGGGUGAGUAACGCGUGAGGAACCUGCCUCAAAGAGGGGGACAACAGUUGGAAACGACUGCUAAUACCGCAUAAGCCCACAGCUCGGCCAUCGAGCAGAGGGAAAGGAGUAGAUCCGCUUUGAGAUGGCCUCGCGUCCGAUUAGCUCGGUUGGUGAGGGUAACGGCCCACCAAGGCGACGAUCGGUAGCCGGACUCGAGAGGUUGAACGGCCACAUUGGGACUGAGACACGGCCCACG